RNAcentral lists this ribosomal RNA (343 nucleotides) under uncultured bacterium. RNAcentral describes it as "bacterial SSU rRNA". It matches the Rfam family "Bacterial small subunit ribosomal RNA", at positions 8 to 334 of the family's 1533-position model. The record is from RNAcentral.
AGAGUUUGAUCAUGGCUCAGGAUGAACGCUGGCGGCGUGCCUAACACAUGCAAGUCGAGCGAGAAGCUUGCUUUUGACGCUUCGGUUGAAAAAGCAAGUGGAAAGCGGCGGACGGGUGAGUAACGCGUAGGCAACCUGCCCUUUGCAGAGGGAUAGCCUCGGGAAACCGGGAUUAAAACCUCAUAAUGCUGAAGGAAGACAUCUUUUUUCAGCCAAAGAUUUAUCGGCAAAGGAUGGGCCUGCGUCUGAUUAGUUAGUUGGUGGGGUAACGGCCUACCAAGGCGACGAUCAGUAGCCGACCUGAGAGGGUGAUCGGCCACAUUGGAACUGAGACACGGUCCAA